GAUGAACGCUAGCUACAGGCUUAACACAUGCAAGUCGAGGGGCAGCGGGAUUGAAGCUUGCUUCAAUUGCCGGCGACCGGCGCACGGGUGAGUAACGCGUAUCCAACCUUCCGUACACUCAGGGAUAGCCUUUCGAAAGAAAGAUUAAUACCUGAUGGUAUGAUGAGAUUGCAUGAUAUCAUCAUUAAAGAUUUAUCGGUGUACGAUGGGGAUGCGUUCCAUUAGGUAGUAGGCGGGGUAACGGCCCACCUAGCCAACGAUGGAUAGGGGUUCUGAGAGGAAGGUCCCUCACAUUGGAACUGAGACACGGUCCAAACUCCUACGGGAGGCAGCAGUGAGGAAUAUUGGUCAAUGGACGAGAGUCUGAACCAGCCAAGUAGCGUGAAGGAUGAAGGUCCUACGGAUUGUAAACUUCUUUUAUAAGGGAAUAAACCCUCCCACGUGUGGGAGCUUGUAUGUACCUUAUGAAUAAGCAUCGGCUAACUCCGUG
RNAcentral lists this ribosomal RNA (490 nucleotides) under uncultured bacterium. RNAcentral's name for it is "partial 16S ribosomal RNA". It matches the Rfam family "Bacterial small subunit ribosomal RNA", at positions 28 to 507 of the family's 1533-position model. The record is from RNAcentral.